GGAGAAUUGAUAAGCGCUGCUUAUCAAUAUAAGUUUCCGUGUUUCGUUUUCGUUUAGUUUUGAGAGUUCAAUUCAGUAUUGACUCUUAAAUGAGGAUAUGAUAUAAAUAAAUCCUGCAAUUUGUAUGGGCCUAUAGCUCAGCUGGUUAGAGCGCACGCCUGAUAAGCGUGAGGUCGAUGGUUCGAGUCCAUUUAGGCCCACCAUACAUUUUGGGGCCUUAGCUCAGCUGGGAGAGCGCCUGCCUUGCACGCAGGAGGUCAGCGGUUCGAUCCCGCUAGGCUCCACCAAAAAGCUAUUUUAAAUAGCAAAUGGUAUGUUCUUUGAAAACUAGAUAACAGUGUAGCUCAUAUUUUUUAAUUUUUAGUUU
Molecule: transfer RNA, 367 nt
Filed under: Bacillus sp. HBM-34
Lineage: Bacteria; Bacillati; Bacillota; Bacilli; Caryophanales; Bacillaceae
Description: partial 16S-23S ribosomal RNA intergenic spacer
Rfam family: tRNA (bases 127-200)
Source: RNAcentral